AAGAUGGUUCCUUUAGGAACCAUCAAAAAUAAUGAAUGAAAAAUAA
Canis lupus familiaris (dog) is the source of this 46-nucleotide non-coding RNA. The record is from Rfam. NCBI's taxonomy places the organism in Eukaryota, Metazoa, Chordata, Mammalia, Carnivora, Canidae.